Molecule: ribosomal RNA, 467 nt
Filed under: uncultured bacterium
Lineage: Bacteria
Description: partial 16S ribosomal RNA
Rfam family: Bacterial small subunit ribosomal RNA
Source: RNAcentral
GACGAACGCUGGCGGCGUGCUUAACACAUGCAAGUCGAACGGAAAGGCCUCUUUCGGGGGGUACUCGAGUGGCGAACGGGUGAGUAACACGUGAGUAACCUGCCCUUGACUUUGGGAUAACUUCAGGAAACUGGGGCUAAUACCGGAUAGGAGCUCCUGCUGCAUGGUGGGGGUUGGAAAGUUUCGGCGGUUGGGGAUGGACUCGCGGCUUAUCAGCUUGUUGGUGGGGUAGUGGCUUACCAAGGCUUUGACGGGUAGCCGGCCUGAGAGGGUGACCGGCCACAUUGGGACUGAGAUACGGCCCAGACGCCUACGGGAGGCAGCAGUGGGGAAUAUUGCACAAGGGGUGGAAGCCUGAUGCAGCAACGCCGUGUGCGGGAUGACGGCCUUCGGGUUGGAAACCGCUUUCGCUCAUGACGAAGCUUUGUGUGACGGUAGUGGGUAAAGAAGCACCGGCUAACUACGUG